CAAAUGAAUUGACGGGGGCCCGCACAAGCGGAGGAGCAUGUGGUUUAAUUCGAUGGUACGCGAGGAACCUUACCUGGGUUAGAACGUAUGAGCGAUGCAGCUGAAAGGUUGCAGGCCUGCGAAGGAGUUCAUACGAGGUGCUGCAUGGUUGUCGUCAGCUCGUGCCGUGAGGUGUUUGGUUAAGUCCAGCAACGAGCGCAACCCCUACCUUUAGUUGCCAUCAGGUAAAGCUGGGGACACUAGAGGGACUGCCUGCGCAAGCAGUGAGGAAGGUGGGGAUGACGUCAAAU
RNAcentral lists this ribosomal RNA (290 nucleotides) under uncultured eukaryote. RNAcentral's name for it is "partial 18S ribosomal RNA". It matches the Rfam family "Bacterial small subunit ribosomal RNA", at positions 902 to 1190 of the family's 1533-position model. The record is from RNAcentral.